GGGGAAUUUUGGACAAUGGGCGCAAGCCUGAUCCAGCCAUGCCGCGUGCAGGAUGAAGGCCCUCGGGUUGUAAACUGCUUUUGUACGGAACGAAAAGCCUCUUUCUAAUAAAGAGGGGUGAUGACGGUACCGUAAGAAUAAGCACCGGCUAACUACGUGCCAGCAGCCGCGGUAAUACGUAGGGUGCGAGCGUUAAUCGGAAUUACUGGGCGUAAAGCGUGCGCAGGCGGUCUUGCAAGACAGUGGUGAAAUCCCCGGGCUCAACCUGGGAACUGCCAUUGUGACUGCAAGGCUGGAGUACGGCAGAGGGGGAUGGAAUUCCGCGUGUAGCAGUGAAAUGCGUAGAUAUGCGGAGGAACACCGAUGGCGAAGGCAGUCCCCUGGGCCUGUACUGACGCUCAUGCACGAAAGCGUGGGGAGCAAAC
This 425-nucleotide ribosomal RNA is filed under the name uncultured bacterium. Its description in RNAcentral is "bacterial SSU rRNA". It matches the Rfam family "Bacterial small subunit ribosomal RNA", at positions 356 to 773 of the family's 1533-position model. The record is from RNAcentral.